Molecule: long non-coding RNA, 447 nt
Organism: Gallus gallus (chicken)
Lineage: Eukaryota; Metazoa; Chordata; Aves; Galliformes; Phasianidae
Source: Ensembl
CAUGAAGACAGCUCUGGGAAAAGAAACAGCUUUGCAUCAACAUGAGACACAGCUCAUAUUCUCUUUUACAUGAGGAUGUAACUAGCUCUGUUUUACCUGACGUGAAUGUAAAUUGAUUUUCCUCCUCGUUCCCAUGAUGAAUUAUCUUCCUCAAGCUGUGCUACUGAGUGGUCAGAAAACACAGAAAGAAUGUGUCAGGAGCUUGAAGAAGAAGCAAAACUCUGUGAUGAAGUGGGAAUUAAGCAGCAUGCCAUCCUGCCACCACUCCCUCACCAUUGACCGGUGUUUCGCAUGUUUCUGCAGGAAACAGAUGCUUGGACACGUAUCAAAUCUCGCAAAAGCCACCAGCCAGAAAUGUGAUUGCAGAAGAACGGUCAGCAGUUAUGUCGAUUUUUUUUCCAAUCUGUUUUUAAAAGCAAAACUGAAAUAACUUUAACUGUAGAGAAG